CCUACGUGGUGCAGCAGUGGGGAAUAUUGGGCAAUGGGCGCAAGCCUGACCCAGCAACGCCGCGUGAAGGAAGAAGGCUCUCGGGUUGUAAACUUCUUUUAUCAGGGACGAAGCAAGUGACGGUACCUGAUGAAUAAGCCACGUCUAACUACGUGCCAGCAGCCGCGGUAAUACGUAGGUGGCAAGCGUUAUCCGGAUUUACUGGGUGUAAAGGGCGUGUAGGCGGGAAAGCAAGUCAGAUGUGAAAACCAUGGGCUCAACCUGUGGCCUGCAUUUGAAACUGUUUUUCUUGAGUACUGGAGAGGCAGACGGAAUUCCUAGUGUAGCGGUGAAAGGCGUAGAGAUUAGGAGGAACACCAGUGGCGAAGGCGGUCUGCUGGACAGCAACUGACGCUGAGGCGUGAAAGCGUGGGGAGCAAACAGGAUUAGAUACCCCGGUAGUC
RNAcentral lists this ribosomal RNA (443 nucleotides) under uncultured bacterium. Its description in RNAcentral is "partial 16S ribosomal RNA". It matches the Rfam family "Bacterial small subunit ribosomal RNA", at positions 338 to 795 of the family's 1533-position model. The record is from RNAcentral.